CCGGCGCCGGGCCGCGGCUGCCCGGGGCGCGUGGGCUCGGGGCGCGCGGGCCCGGAGCGCGGCGGCUCGGAAGCCGCUGGUUCCGGGC
RNAcentral lists this transfer RNA (88 nucleotides) under Streptomyces lavendulae subsp. lavendulae. Its description in RNAcentral is "tRNA-Pro". Lineage: Bacteria; Bacillati; Actinomycetota; Actinomycetes; Kitasatosporales; Streptomycetaceae. The record is from RNAcentral.